GUCUAUCACAUGAUGGAGCCACCCAUGGAGUACUAUGAGAUCGUCAAUACAGAAAUCACCCAGGACGACGACCAGCUCGAUGUCAAUGUCAGCCGCCCCCUCCUCCAAGAGGCCGAGUGGCCGGAUCUCGCCGACAAGGAGACCCGGCACUGUAAGACCCCCUUCAUCGCCAGAAUCUUUGCCAGCAUCUCCGGCUCCUCCCAGACCACCUUCCCCGACCUCGACCUCACGGAAGAAGGCUCUGGCGCCGCCCCGAGCAGCCCCAAGUCGAUUCGCUGCUUGGCGGAGCCUAAAGUUGUCCGACGAAUCAGAAUCGUGGCCGAGAGGACUCCGAUUCAGC
Molecule: unclassified non-coding RNA, 340 nt
Filed under: Hevea brasiliensis (rubber tree)
Lineage: Eukaryota; Viridiplantae; Streptophyta; Magnoliopsida; Malpighiales; Euphorbiaceae
Source: RNAcentral